UCAGAGCGUGGAGGUUCAUCAUGCAGAACCUGGUCAAGACAGGUUCUCUGCUGGUGACGGUUCCCAGUCUUCAGGAGAGUCUGGACGCUCUGCAGGAGGCGCUGCGUCCUGGCUGGGUAGAGGAACUUCCUGUGGACUACGACGUUUACCUGGGCAGAGACACGGACCCAGAAGCCCUCAGACAGAUCCACCUGUACAGGGUCAUGUGAACUGGUCUCCACAACUGGUUCGGACCAGUCUGAACAACUUAAACUAGUCUGGAACAGUCGGAUUCUAAACUGGAAUCAAGGCUGAAUCGGUCCCGACUGCUGGACUGGUUUUAACUCAUGAUCCCUCAUUGGACGCGGUGUGAACCAGUCUGAAUCCUGAUGUCUAUGAAUGCAUCUGUGUGGAAGCUGCUGUGUAAACAGACGACACAGUGAAACAUCUGGAAUUAGAACUGAAACUAACAAAGGUCCAGAUUAAUAAAUCCAGAAUUCUCCUCUGUCACUGUGACAUCACAGCUGUGUCAUGGAUUAUGUGACAUCGUGGGACGUUGUGCUGUGAGGUCAUGACAUAUGAAAUGUGACAUCACAACAUAUUUCUUUGUGAAUGAUGCAGAACUUGAAUUAUAUUUUUAUGAAUCCUCUGAAUUAAACAUGAAAAAGUGACACAUGUU
Molecule: non-coding RNA, 658 nt
Organism: Paralichthys olivaceus (Japanese flounder)
Lineage: Eukaryota; Metazoa; Chordata; Actinopteri; Pleuronectiformes; Paralichthyidae
Source: RefSeq, a predicted model, not a curated record